This 433-nucleotide ribosomal RNA is filed under the name uncultured bacterium. RNAcentral describes it as "partial 16S ribosomal RNA". It matches the Rfam family "Bacterial small subunit ribosomal RNA", at positions 29 to 507 of the family's 1533-position model. The record is from RNAcentral.
AACGAACGCUGGCGGCAGGCCUAACACAUGCAAGUCGAGCGAGAUCUUCGGGUCUAGCGGCGGACGGGUGAGUAACGCGUGGGAAUAUGCCUCUUGGUACGGAAUAGCCUCGGGAAACUGGGAGUAAUACCGUAUGUGCCCUUUGGGGGAAAGAUUUAUCGCCAAGAGAUUAGCCCGCGUUGGAUUAGGUAGUUGGUGGGGUAAUGGCCUACCAAGCCGACGAUCCAUAGCUGGUUUGAGAGGAUGAUCAGCCACACUGGGACUGAGACACGGCCCAGACUCCUACGGGAGGCAGCAGUGGGGAAUCUUAGACAAUGGGGGCAACCCUGAUGUAGCCAUGCCGCGUGAGUGAUGAAGGCCUUAGGGUUGUAAAGCUCUUUCAGCUGGGAAGAUAAUGACGGUACCAGCAGAAGAAGCCCCGGCUAACUCCGUG